Molecule: long non-coding RNA, 729 nt
Organism: Malaclemys terrapin pileata
Lineage: Eukaryota; Metazoa; Chordata; Testudines; Emydidae
Exons: 3
Source: RefSeq, a predicted model, not a curated record
CUGUAAAGGGUUAAGAAGCUCAGGUAACCUGGCUGACACCUGACCCAAAGGACCAAUAAGGGGACAAGAUACUUUCAAAUCUUGGUGGGGGGAAGGCUUUUGUUUGUGCUCUUUGUUUUGGUGGUUGUUCGCUCUUGGGACUAAGAGGGACCAGACAUCGAUCCAGGCUCUCCAAAUCUUUCUGAACAAGUCUCUCAUAUUUCAAACUUUAUGCAGACUUCCCUGGUAACAGUUGCUAAGAAGAAAUAAAAGAGUCAGACACACAGGUUGCUGCCAUGCAGGAUGAAGGUCUGGGAACAUUUGGUGUGCUUCAGCAGAGCUUCUGUCGCAGCAUGAGGUAACAACCAACCAGAGCGAGAGAAAUGACUGCAGGUAGGAGGACAAUGUUGACUGACAAAAUCCAAGAAACCAGGCAAGGAGGGGAGCAUCCUUUAAGAAGGGAACAGGGAGCAGAGACCCAGAUUCCAGACCGAUGAGCUCCCUGCAGAAAGGAGAAUGUGGUGCAUUCAUGCACAAGUGGAGUGACACCUGUGUGGGGAAUACACAUCGGACUUUUGCUUAUCCCAUCGGGAAGUUCUGGCAUAGUAGGCUUCAUACCUAGGGCUUGUAUGCAGUGUGGAAAUUGGCUGCUUGUUGAAAUUAGGCACCAAAUUUGGGUUUACUAAAAUCUAACACCAAUAGAAAUAAAAAAAAAAGGCUUUAUACUGUGGUAGCAGUCAGCAUUGAGCU